UAAACUUGUAGAAAUGCUUCUCCAUAGAAUUUUGGAGAUCCCCUAAAAAAUUCUGCCCCAAUUAUUUGGUCCAAGAAAAAUAUUAAAAUUUCAUUAUGAUAAGACCGAACUCCAUAGGAGCGCCUAUGUAACCCUCUUAAACGGGAAUCAAGUCAAACAUAAUUCAAAUUACAUAGGAGAAAUUCAUAUUGUUCCAAACAUAUGUAACGAUUAUAGUAACUCAAAUGCUUGAGAGCCCAAAAUGAGGACACGAUGUGAUAUCCCUUCAUUAAUGUCAGAUAGAUUCCCAUGCUUAAUCAACAUUAAGAUAUGGCCCCGUCAUAUUUAUCACCUUGGUAUCAAUCAGUGCUUGAAUUUUAUCCCUUAAAGAAUGACAUUCUUCUGUGGUGUGGCCUGUUAUCCCUGAAUGAUAAGCACAAACUUUAAAAUGAUCAAUCCAUUUUGCACAUGCAUUCAUCAUAAUUGUAGGAAUUGGAGUAAUGUAGCCAUCAACCCUUAAUCUCUCAUAAAGUUGGUCUAUAGGCUCAGCCAAAGGAGUGUACUCUCUUGAAAACUUUUUCUAAAACUUAACUUGAGGUCUAACAAAUUGAUUGGAUCGUUUAUGUGUUGGUGGAUUUUGAUAAGCUAAUGGAAUAUAUUUGGAGGAACUUGAAAGUGCGCAGGUUGUGCAAGAGAGUUGGUAGGAUUAUAAGAUAGCAUGGGGUAAUUGUAUGUCAUCGUAGGAGGUGAAUAUGAAGGUGCUCGAUAUAUGGGUGUUUGGUGUUAAAGUGGAGGAAGUGGUAAUUGAUAAAUCGGAGGGCUUUUAGGAUCUUAUGUAGUCAAGACAACAUUACUUCCUUCAUGUCAUUAUUUUCGUCAGCCUGUGAAGUCUUAAUCACUUACAGCGCCUCCAAAUUUAUUAUCAUGCCAUUUUUAACGCCUUCUUCAACUCUCUCACCCAAUUUAAUGAUGUCAAUAAUCUUUCUAUCAUCUAUAAGCAUAUUUUUUUAUAAUACUGUGGCUCUUAGGCACGAAUGAAAAAUUCCUUCAUUUGAUUUUCAUCCAAAGGAGGGCACACUUUAAAAGCUUCACGUAUCCAUCUCAUCUAUAUUCUUGAAAUGAUUCUAUAGGUUUCUUUUUUAACUUUUGAAUGUAGAACCAAUCAGGCGCAUUCUCGACAUUAAACCCAAAUCUUUCUAUAAAAGCAGAGGCUAUGUCGGUCUAUUUUGACCAUUUUGUUGCAUCUUGUAUGACAUACCAUGAUAAAGCAUCUCCAGUGAGACUCCUCAUGAAUAUCUUCAUAAGAAUUUGCUCGUUUUUACCAACUCCUACCAACUUGUCACAAUAUAAUUUUAAAUAGACUUUCAGAUCUCCAGUCUUAUUAUACAAUUCAAAUUUAGGAGUUUUGUACCCCUCCGGCUGUUCAACAUCAGGGUAUAUGCACAAGUCCUCGUAACUUUGUUCAUUCAACCCCUUACUACAUUCAAGUUGUUCCAACCUAUCAACCACAAAUUGCAUAAGGGCAUCUUUUUCUGAAGGUUUGGAUUUAUA
RNAcentral lists this long non-coding RNA (1530 nucleotides) under Capsicum annuum. Its description in RNAcentral is "long non-coding RNA (CANN_LNC000852)". The record is from RNAcentral. Lineage: Eukaryota; Viridiplantae; Streptophyta; Magnoliopsida; Solanales; Solanaceae.